ACUCAAAUGAAUUGACGGGGGCCCGCACAAGCGGUGGAGCAUGUGGUUUAAUUCGAUGCAACGCGAAGAACCUUACCAGGUCUUGACAUCCUACGAAUACUUAGGAAACUAGGUAGUGCCUUCGGGAGCGUAGAGACAGGUGGUGCAUGGUUGUCGUCAGCUCGUGUCGUGAGAUGUUGGGUUAAGUCCCGCAACGAGCGCAACCCUUGCUAUUAGUUGCUAACAUUAACGAUGAGCACUCUAAUGGGACUGCCCGUGACAAGCGGGAGGAAGGUGGGGAUGACGUCAAAUCAUCAUGCCCUUUAUGAUCUGGGCUACACACGUGCUACAAUGGAUGGUACAGAGAGCAGCAAAGCCGCGAGGUAGAGCGAAUCUCAUAAAGCCAUUCUCAGUUCGGAUUGCAGUCUGCAACUCGACUGCAUGAAGUCGGAAUCGCUAGUAAUCGCGAAUCAGCAUGUCGCGGUGAAUGCGUUCCCGGGCCUUGUACACACCGCCCGU
RNAcentral lists this ribosomal RNA (498 nucleotides) under uncultured bacterium. RNAcentral's name for it is "bacterial SSU rRNA". It matches the Rfam family "Bacterial small subunit ribosomal RNA", at positions 899 to 1397 of the family's 1533-position model. The record is from RNAcentral.